AUCCAAACUAGCGACCGCUCGUCUACGCAUUACCUCACAAGUGUGAAGUCCAAAAACAUGGAUUCCUACAAGGAGGAGAAGAAGUCCAAGAAGAUAUACACUACAGAGAACAAACUUACAAUAAAAGAUAAUCUAAAAACAAGCGAUACACUGAAAGCACAGCUCACCUACCCGCAUUUCCGACAAAUGUGGAGUCUGAAAAAGACACCAAAUCUCUUAUGACGAAGAAGAUCAACAAGAUAAACAGAGAGAAAAAGUAUAAUAAAAGAUAAUCUAGAAAACAAGCGAUACACUGAAAGGACAGCUCCAUCCACCCUAUUUCGACGAAUGUGGAGUCUGAACAAGAUAUAAAACUCUUAUCAUAGAGAAGAUCAACAAGAUAAACAGAGAGGAAAAGGAUAAUAAGAUAUAUAAACAGCGAUAUCCAAACUAGAGACCGCUCGUCUACGCAUUACCUCACAAGUGUGAAGUCCAAGAACCUGGAUUCCUACAAGGAGGAGAAGAAGUCCAAGAAGAUAUUAUAAAUUCCAAAUUAUAAAUCGUGAAUCUAAAAACAAGUGAUACACUGAAAGCACAGCUCACCUACCCGCAUUUCCGACAAAUGUGGAGUCUGAAAAAGACACCAAAUUUCUUAUGACGAAGAAGAUCAACAAGAUAAACAGAGAGAAAAAGUAUAAUAAAAGAUAUAACAGCAAUAUCCAAACUAGCGACCACUCGUUUACCGCAUCACGUCACAAGUGUGAAGUCCAAUAACCUAAAUUCCUACAAGGAGGAGAAGGAGGCCAGCAAGAUAUACACUAUGUAGAGAACAAACUUACAAGAAAAGAUAUAAUAAGCGAUAUCCAAACUAGCGACCGCCGUCUACGCAUUACCUCACAAGUGUGAAGUCCAAGAACCUGGAUUCCUACAAGGAGGAGAGAAGUCCAAGAAGAUAUACACUACAAGAACAAACUUACAA
This is a non-coding RNA of Styela clava, 958 nucleotides long. NCBI's taxonomy places the organism in Eukaryota, Metazoa, Chordata, Ascidiacea, Stolidobranchia, Styelidae. The record is from RefSeq and is a predicted model, not a curated record.